Molecule: ribosomal RNA, 549 nt
Filed under: uncultured bacterium
Lineage: Bacteria
Description: partial 16S ribosomal RNA
Rfam family: Bacterial small subunit ribosomal RNA
Source: RNAcentral
UGGGGAAUAUUGCACAAUGGGCGCAAGCCUGAUGCAGCCAUGCCGCGUGUGUGAAGAAGGCCUUCGGGUUGUAAAGCACUUUCAGCGAGGAGGAAGGUGGUGAGCUUAAUACGCUCAUCAAUUGACGUUACUCGCAGAAGAAGCACCGGCUAACUCCGUGCCAGCAGCCGCGGUAAUACGGAGGGUGCAAGCGUUAAUCGGAAUUACUGGGCGUAAAGCGCACGCAGGCGGUUUGUUAAGUCAGAUGUGAAAUCCCCGGGCUCAACCUGGGAACUGCAUUUGAAACUGGCAAGCUAGAGUCUCGUAGAGGGGGUAGAAUUCCAGGUGUAGCGGUGAAAUGCGUAGAGAUCUGGAGGAAUACCGGUGGCGAAGGCGGCCCCCUGGACGAAGACUGACGCUCAGGUGCGAAAGCGUGGGGCAGCAAACAGGAUUAGAUACCCUGGUAGUCCACGCUGUAAACGAUGUCGAUUUUGGAGGUUGUGCCCUUGAGGCGUGGCUUCCGGAGCUAACGCGUUAAAUCGACCGCCUGGGGAGUACGGCCGCAAGGUU